Acanthosepion pharaonis is the source of this 113-nucleotide non-coding RNA. NCBI's taxonomy places the organism in Eukaryota, Metazoa, Mollusca, Cephalopoda, Sepiida, Sepiidae. The record is from the annotation of a GenBank genome assembly.
UAUGGUCAAAUCAUGCUAAAUACACCAGUUCUUGUUUGAUCACCAUAGUUAAGCAGUGUCAAGCCCAGUUAGUACUUAGAUGGGUGACUGCUUCAGAACACCAGAUACUGUAA